CACGUAGGGGGCGAGCGUUGUCCGGAUUUAUUGGGCGUAAAGGGCUCGUAGGCGGCUCAGUAAGUCGGGUGUGAAACCUCCAGGCUUAACCUGGAGACGCCAUUCGAUACUGCUGUGGCUAGAGUCCGGUAGGGGAGCAUGGAAUUCCUGGUGUAGCGGUGAAAUGCGCAGAUAUCAGGAGGAACACCAGUGGCGAAGGCGGUGUUCUGGGUCGGAACUGACGCUGAUGAGCGAAAGCGUGGGGAGUAAACAGG
RNAcentral lists this ribosomal RNA (254 nucleotides) under uncultured bacterium. RNAcentral describes it as "partial 16S ribosomal RNA". It matches the Rfam family "Bacterial small subunit ribosomal RNA", at positions 524 to 776 of the family's 1533-position model. The record is from RNAcentral.